Non-coding RNA from Benincasa hispida (wax gourd), 924 nucleotides. NCBI's taxonomy places the organism in Eukaryota, Viridiplantae, Streptophyta, Magnoliopsida, Cucurbitales, Cucurbitaceae. The record is from RefSeq and is a predicted model, not a curated record.
UCUUUUCCUAUUUUUGAUCUAGUGAUUUAACAUGUGUUUAAACUUGUAGUUUUGUGUAUUUCCACUAGUUCAAAAGAACAAGAAUCAUAAUCAACCACCAUUAAAUAUUUGAUAGAUUUGGAAAAAAUGAGAAGGAAAUAUAGAAAGAGAAAGAAAAAGAAAAAGAAGAAAUAAAUGAAGGAAGAGAUUUAAUUGGAGGAAAAAAUGAGCAUGGGAAAAAUAUAAUGGAGGAAAUAGAAGAACUGAAAAAUGGCCAACAUAGGGUAGAAAAAGAGUAGAAAAGUCUGAAACAAUGCCAAGAAGAGAUCAUCAGAAUGUUAAAAAUAAUCAUCGAAAGACAGAAUGAUAGACUUCCAAUUGAAAAGCUUCCGCAAGAAGAACAAGAAAAAGAGGUUAAGGAGACAAUAGAAAGAAACAAAUCUCCUUGUAACUUCCAAAUUCUUGAAAGAAAUGAUGAAAUUGAUAAGAUGGUGAAUUAUGCUGCAAAUUAGGUAGCUCAAGUAAGUAUUUUGCUAUGUGCUAUUUUAUUUUUAAAUGUAAACAUACAUUUACUAACUAAACUAAAACUAUUUUUUCUUGUAGACUAAAAUUGGAAAUCAAAGAAAGGAAUCUUAUGCACCAACACAAGAUGAUUUUGACCAUAUUCAAACUCUACAUUUGGAAACCCCAAAGACACAAGAAUUAACAACAGAGUUCAAGGAAGAGGAUGGAAAGGAAAAGCAAAAAGAAUUUGAAGCUAAAGAAGAUAUGGAAAAAACUGAUCAUGUUCAGCAAAAGGAUAAGCCGGUUGAUGAAGGAAAAUUGUUGUUGAACAAGAAUAGCAUGUUGAAGAACAAGUUAUUGAGGAAGAAACUGAAGAAGAAAAUGAGAAUGAAAAGAAAAAAAAGACUUGAAAAUAAAAGAAAACAACAUUAAGGAAAGAAG